AAAAAAAAAAAAAAAAAAAAGGAGAUUGGAUUGUAAGCUGAGUUGUGUUGUGCUGAAAAAAAAAAUUGACAAGCUGACAUAAGUGAUGAAAUUGUGAAUUGUGAAGUUAAACAUUGAAUUUGAGCCUGAUAAUCUACCAACAUCUUUGGGUAUUACUAGACACCUCACAUGCCAUAUUUGAUGUGAAAAUUCCACUGUUUGCAUAUCGAACCAAAUUUUGCGGCAAACCUGAUCAAAUUUAGUUAACACACCAAACCAACCCAGAAAACUCCGAAAUUUUGCAGGCUGAUUAUACUCAAUUUCAGUAGCUUUUGUGUCAAUUUUCAGGGUUUUGUGACAUUGUUUGCCUACCGAACCAAAAUUUUGCGACAGACCUAGUCAAAUUUCGUUCACCUAGUAAACCCAUCCAGAAACUCCUGAAAUUUUACCAGUAGUUAGUCAGUAUUGGGAUGCCUAUGUCUACCAAAUUUCAGAUCAAAAUAUAUUCGUUUUUGUGGUAAACCAAAAUUGUUGCAUAUUUUUGGUUAAUUGUGUGAACUGCUGGUAUUUGUGCAAAGUUGACUAUGAAAUUGGAAGUUUGAGCUUGAUAUCAUUCUAUUGGGUUGUCUCUCAUACAGUUUUCAAAAAAUCAUACCAUUUAGUUCACAUUUGCUUCUACUUUUGGUGUCUUCCAUUUCUUUGGCUCUAGUGUCACACUCUCUGGUUAUUGCUAUUUCGUUUCUCCCAGUUUCGUUUGUUGAUUGUUUUUUUAUAAAAUUAGCAAGUAUUUGUGCAUGUUUGUGAAUUUUAGUUCCCAAAGGAACAAAGGAACAAAGGAAGCAAACUGUUGAGUGGUAAAAGGCAAGAGUGUGUGAGUGCCAAAAGAGGGUAAGAGCCUGAAAUUUGUGCGAAAACACUUGAACUAAACACUUGAGAGGGUGAGCCAUUUCUACUAACUUCGUUUUCUUGCAGCCAAAUCAUGUCUCAAUUCCAAGAGACAAGUGGUAGUAGUGGAGGUAAUGAAGAAAAAAUGGAGUUUCCUGAUGAUCAAAUUUUUAAAGAAUCCGUAGCACAAAGUUUUGAAAGGAUGAAUUUGCAAAUGAAUGACUUUAGAGAUGAAUUGGAUGUAUUGAGGGGAAUGAGAAAUGAGAUGACCAGGUUUAUGGAAGAGAUGAGAAGGGACAGAGAAGAUAGAAAUAGGAGGAAUGAUGGGGGAGCAAAUGUGGGAAAUCAGAAUAGAAAUGAAGGUAGAUUUCGGGCAGAACAUAGGAAUGAAGGGUAUGAAGAAGCUGAAUGGAAUGAUGAUGAGUAUGAUGAAGCUUAUGACUAUGGCAACUACCAUUAUGGUGGAAGAGGGUAUAGACCACCUAGGGGUAGAGGGCCUAGUGGAAGAAGGGGUGGCAGAAAUUUUAGGUUCGGUGAUCAUUGGGAUAGAGAUGGGAAUGAGGAGAGAGUUGAUGGGAAUUUAGCUAGUAUAAAAAUGCAAAUUCCACCUUUUCAUGGGAAGGAUAAUCCAGAUGUUUAUUUGGAGUGGGAGAGACAGGUGGAGUUGAUUUUUGAGUGCCACCAUUAUUCUGAAGAGAAGAAAGUGAAGUUAGCAGCUGUAGAAUUCAAAGAGUAUGCAAUUAUAUGGUGGGAUCAGUUGUUGAGUAGGAGGAAGAGAAAUGGGCAACGAACUGUGGAGACAUGGGACGAAAUGAAGGGAAUCUUGAGAAACAGGUUUGUGCCACCUUACUACCACAGAGAGCUGCUUCAAAGGUUACAAAAACUCACUCAAGGUACCAAAAGUGUCGAAGAAUACUACAAGGCCAUGGAGAUAGCGUUGAUUAGAGCUGAUGUUGAGGAGGAUCGGGAAGCUACAAUGGUUCGCUUUUUGAAUGGGUUAAAUCCUGAAAUUGCUAAUAUUGUGGAGCUGCAACCUUGUGUGGAGGUGGAGGAUAUGCUACAAAUGGCACUUAAAGUGGAGAAGCAACUAAAAAGGAAAAAUGUGGCUAGAUAUGCACCAGCCAACCAUUCGGCUCCUAGGAGUAAUUGGAAGUCAAAUUGGUCUGCUCCUUCAAGGGUGGAGAAAGAAGUUCCCAAAUUCAAGAAAGAAGAAUGGAAAGGAAAGGAGAAAGUAGAGGAGAAGAACAAGGGAGUUCCUACUAGGACUAGAGAACUGAAGUGUUUUAAGUGUUUGGGAAAUGGACAUUAUGCCUCACAAUGUCCAAAUAAAAGAGUGAUGGUUGUUAGGGAAAAUGGAGAGUUAGAAAGUGAAGAGGAAAGGGAGGAAGAAUCUGAUAAUGUUGAUGAGCAUGAGGAUGAUUGCUACGAUGAGGGAGAUCAACCACCUAUGGAUGGCAAUAUCCUUGUCACCAUGCGCACACUUAGUGCACAAGUGAGUAUGGAGUGUAGUGAUGAAAUGCAAAGAGAGAAUAUCUUCCAUACUAGGUGCUUGGUGAAUGACAAGUUGUGUAGUGUGAUUGUAGAUGGUGGGAGCUGUUGUAAUGUGGCUAGUUCACUCUUGGUGGACAAGUUGGGUUUGCCUACUACUACACAUCCAAAACCAUAUGGCUUGCAAUGGUUGAAUGAUUGUGGGAAGUUGAGGGUUACAAAACAGGUGGUGGUGCCAUUCACCAUUGGCAAGUAUAAUGAUGAGGUACUUUGUGAUGUUGUGCCUAUGGUUGCUACGCAUCUUUUGUUGGGCCGUCCAUGGCAGUAUGAUAGAAGUGUUGUGCAUGAUGGUAGGAAGAACAGGUACACGGUCACUAAGGAAGGUCGAACAUACUCAUUGCUUCCUAUGACACCAGCUCAAGUGCAUGAAGAUCAAAUAAGGAUUCUUAGAUCCAUUGAAGAAAAGAAAGAAACUUGGAGAGAAAAACUUAGAGAGGCCGAGCUGGAUGAGAGUGAAAAGAAAGAGAAGAGAGAAGAAAAAGAGAGAAAAAGAGAAACAAAAGAAAAGAAAAUGAGAGCAAAUGAGAAAAAGGAAAGCUCGGGGCAAAAGGAGAGUGGAGAGAAAAGAAUGAGUUUGUAUGUAAAGGAAAGAGAAGUUAGAGAGGCUUUACAUUCAGGAAGACCUCUUUGUGUACUUAUGUACAAGGAGGUUAAUUUAUGUGUUACUGACCUUGAUUCACAUUUGCCUAGUGAUGCUUUGUCUCUUAUACAGGAAUAUGAAGAUGUCUUCCCCAAUGAGUUGCCACUAGGAUUGCCACCUAUCAGAGGGAUUGAGCACCAGAUCGACUUAGUACCUGGAGCACAAAUACUGAAUAGACCAGCAUACAGAACAAAUCCUAAAGAAACAAAGGAGUUACAAAGGCAAGUGGAGGAGCUUAUGGAGAAGGGCUAUGUUAGGGAGAGCAUGAGCCUAUGUGCUGUACCUGUGUUGCUAGUGCCUAAGAAGGAUGGGAGUUAUCGCAUGUGUGUGGAUUGCUGAGCCAUCAAUAAAAUCACUGUAAAGUAUAGACACCCAAUCCCUCGCCUUGAUGAUAUGCUUGAUGAGUUGCAUGGUGCAAGUGUGUUUUCUAAGAUAGAUUUGAAAAGUGGUUACCACCAAAUAAGAAUGAAAAUUGGUGAUGAGUGGAAAACUGCUUUCAAAACUAAAUAUGGGUUGUAUGAAUGGAUGGUGAUGCCAUUUGGGCUCACAAAUGCUCCUAGCACUUUUAUGCGUUUGAUGAAUCAUGUGUUGAGGAAUUUCACUGGAAAAUUUGUUGUUGUGUAUUUUGAUGACAUUUUGAUUUACAGUAGUAACAUAGACGAGCAUUUGGAUUACUUGAGACUUGUUUUUGAUGUGUUGAGAAAUGAGAAAUUGUAUGUGAAUGCGAAAAAGUGUUCAUUUUGCUUGGAUAAGGUUGUUUUUCUUGGUUUUGUUGUAAGUAGUAAAGGUGUACAGGUUGAUGAAGAGAAAAUCAAAGCCAUUAGAGAUUGGCCAAUUCCUAAGAAUGUGUCUGAUGUUAGGAGUUUCCAUGGAUUGGCUAGUUUCUAUAGGCGAUUUGUGUCUAAUUUUAGUACAAUUGCUGCUCCUUUGAAUGAAUUGGUAAAAAAGAAUGUUGCAUUUGAGUGGAAAAAGAAACAUGAACAUGCAUUUUCUGAACUUAAAGAUAGAUUGUGUUCUGCACCCUUGUUGAGUUUGCCAAAUUUUGAUGAGACUUUUGAAAUUGAAUGUGACGCAAGUGGUGUAGGAAUUGGUGCGGUUCUCAUGCAAGAGAAACGACCAAUAGCAUAUUUUAGUGAGAAAUUGCAUGGAGCUGCCUUGAAUUACUCUACUUAUGAUAAGGAGAUUUAUGCAUUAGUUAGGGCCUUGGAAACUUGGCAACAUUAUUUGUGGCCUAAAGAAUUUGUCAUACAUUCGGAUCAUGAAUCAUUGAAGCAUAUUAAGAGUCAAAAUAAGUUGAGUAGAAGGCAUGCUAAAUGGAUUGAAUUUUUGGAGUCAUUUCCAUAUGUGAUUAAAUACAAGCAAGGAAAAGAGAAUGUUGUAGCUGAUGCACUUUCUAGGAGACAUGCACUUUUGUCUACACUUGAUGCUAAAUUGCUUGGUUUUGAGUUCAUGAAAGAAUUGUAUGUUGAUGAUGCUGAUUUUUAUAAUGUAUAUGCUGCUUGUGAGAAAAGUGCAUUUCAGAAAUUUUAUAGGCAUGAUGGAUACUUGUUUAAGGAGAAUAAAUUGUGUGUGCCUAAAUGCUCUAUGCGAGACUUGCUUGUUUUGGAGUCACAUAGUGGUGGUUUGAUGGGACAUUUUGGUGUUGCUAAGACUUUAAACAUAUUGCAAGAACACUUCUUUUGGCCACAUAUGAGGAAAGAUGUUGAUCGAAUGUGUUCUAGGUGUGUUGAAUGUAAGAAAGCAAAGUCUAGAGUAAUGCCAAAUGGUCUUUACACACCCUUGCCUGUUCCUAAGGAACCUUGGACUGAUAUUUCUCUGGAUUUUAUUUUGGGUUUGCCUAGGUCUAGGAGAGGUCAUGAUUCUAUAUUUGUGGUUGUUGAUAGAUUUUCUAAGAUGGCACACUUCAUACCGUGUCACAAAACAGAUGAUGCCACAUACAUAGCCAAUUUGUUCUUUAAGGAGAUAGUCAGGUUACAUGGUAUACCUAGGACUAUAGUGACUGAUAGAGAUGUUAAAUUCCUAAGUCACUUUUGGAGGGUGUUGUGGGGUAAGUUAGGUACUAAACUGCUGUUCUCAACUACUUGUCAUCCCCAGACUGAUGGACAAACAGAAGUAGUGAAUAGAAACUUAACUACUUUAUUACGUGUGAUGGUUAAACAAAACUUGAAAUCUUGGGAAGAUUGCAUUCCUUUUGUUGAGUUUGCUUAUAACAGAGUAGUUCAUUCUUCUACCGGAUUUUCACCAUUUCAGAUUGUGUAUGGAUUUAAUCCAUUGACACCAUUAGACUUGUUGCCUUUACCUGUUGAUCAUAUUAAUAGUCUUGAUGGUAAAAAGAAAGCAGAUUUGGUUAGGAAAUUGCAUGAGCAAGCUAGGUUACAAAUUGAAAAGAAAAAUGCACAAUAUGCUACUCAUUCUAAUAAAGGCCGAAAGCCUCUUGUGUUUGAACUAGGUGACUUUGUUUGGGUGCAUUUAAGGAAAGAGCGGUUUCCAAACCUAAGAAAGUCAAAAUUACAGCCAAGGUGUGAUGGUCCAUUCAAAGUGCUAGAAAGGAUCAACAACAAUGCAUACAAGAUUGAUUUACCUGGUGAGUAUGGUGUUAGCAAUUCUUUUAACAUUACUGAUCUUUCCCCUUGCAUUGAUGCAGGACCAAAUUCGAGGACGAAUUCUUUCAAAGGAGGAGGGGAUGAUGAAGAAGCGCCAGUGCCUAUGCCAUUAUUUAGAAGACCCAUCACCAGAGCCAGAGCUAGAGAGCUGCA
Molecule: unclassified non-coding RNA, 5808 nt
Filed under: Hevea brasiliensis (rubber tree)
Lineage: Eukaryota; Viridiplantae; Streptophyta; Magnoliopsida; Malpighiales; Euphorbiaceae
Source: RNAcentral